GACGAACGCUGGCGGCGUGCUUAACACAUGCAAGUCGAACGGAAAGGCCCGGCUUUUGUGGGGUGCUCGAGGGGCGAACGGGUGAGUAACACGUGAGUAACCUGCCCUUGACUGUGGGAUAACUUCAGGAAACUGGGGCUAACACCGGAUAGGAGCUCCUGCUGCAGGGUGGGGGUGGGAAAGUUUCGGCGGUUGGGGAUGGACUCGCGGCUUAUCAGCUUGUUGGUGGGGUAGUGGCUUACCAAGGCUUUGACGGGUAGCCGGCCUGAGAGGGUGACCGGCCACACUGGGACUGAGAUACGGCCCAGACUCCUACGGGAGGCAGCAGUGGGGGAUAUUGCACAAUGGGCGGAAGCCUGAUGCAGCAACGCCGCGUGCGGGAUGACGGCCUUCGGGUUGUAAACCGCUUUCGCCUGUGACGAAGCGUGAGUGACGGUAAUGGGUAAAGAAGCACCGGCUAACUACGUG
RNAcentral lists this ribosomal RNA (468 nucleotides) under uncultured bacterium. Its description in RNAcentral is "partial 16S ribosomal RNA". It matches the Rfam family "Bacterial small subunit ribosomal RNA", at positions 28 to 507 of the family's 1533-position model. The record is from RNAcentral.